Molecule: long non-coding RNA, 579 nt
Organism: Girardinichthys multiradiatus
Lineage: Eukaryota; Metazoa; Chordata; Actinopteri; Cyprinodontiformes; Goodeidae
Exons: 2
Source: RefSeq, a predicted model, not a curated record
GUUCAGUCAGCCCCUCUUCUUCUUCUUCUUCCGUCUUCAGCUCUGAGCUACAACAGCAGUAACUUUGACUUCUCUUCCAGCUAUGACAGGAUUCCUACAUCUACUGGUCAUUUGGGCAAGAGUGGAAAUAAACCCCAUCCAUCCAUCACUGGGUCAAAACAGACACGUGGGAGUGACAACACACACAAGGGCAAUUCAGAAUCACCAGUUAACCUAGCAUCCAUGUUUGUGAGCUGCAAGAAUACACUGGAACUUCUGGAGUAGAACUGCAUGUGCACAGUGUAGUGUUAUAGACUUUUUGCACAUUUCACGUGUCUGACAAAGCUUUUGCAGAAGACCUUCAUUGUCGCAUUAGAAUUAGAUGAAAUAAUUUUUUACCCCACAGAUGAUGUUCCUGAAACCUGCAAAAAUGUUGUUGUUUUUUUUACUAUUUUGGAUGCCUGUCAAUACAUAUUACAUAAUUAUGUUUAGAAGUAAAUAUCUAAUCCAGCAAACACUUUUCUGCUUUUCAAAUUAAUGUAUUUUAGGGUUUUGGUCCAUGUCAUAAAACCAUGAAUAAACUGUUUCCAGCCAGAAAGA